GCAGAAGGAUCAUUAGUGAAGAUUUGGGCAGGCCAUACGGACACCAAAAAGUGUCCCUGGCCGCCUACACCCACUAUACAUCCACAAACCCGUGUGCACUGUCUUGGAGAAAGGCUUCAGAGAAGUUUUUUGUGGCCUCUCUUGGGGUCUUUCUCCGCUACAAACUCGAAUGGUUAGUAUGAACGUGGAACUUGGUUGGACCGUCACUGGCCAACAAACUAUACACAACUUUCGACAACGGAUCUCUUGGUUCUCCCA
This 258-nucleotide unclassified non-coding RNA is filed under the name uncultured fungus. Its description in RNAcentral is "partial contains 18S rRNA, ITS1, 5.8S rRNA". Lineage: Eukaryota; Fungi. The record is from RNAcentral.